GACGAACGCUGGCGGCGUGCCUAAUACAUGCAAGUCGAGCGAAUCUGAUGGGAGCUUGCUCCUUGAUGAUUAGCGGCGGACGGGUGAGUAACACGUGGGUAACCUGCCUGUAAGACUGGGAUAACUCCGGGAAACCGGGGCUAAUACCGGAUAACUUUUUUCUUCGCAUGAGGGAGAAUUGAAAGAUGGCUUCGGCUAUCACUUACAGAUGGACCCGCGGCGCAUUAGCUAGUUGGUGAGGUAACGGCUCACCAAGGCGACGAUGCGUAGCCGACUUGAGAGGGUGAUCGGCCACACUGGGACUGAGACACGGCCCAGACUCCUACGGGAGGCAGCAGUAGGGAAUCUUCCGCAAUGGACGAAAGUCUGACGGAGCAACGCCGCGUGAGUGAUGAAGGUUUUCGGAUCGUAAAACUCUGUUGUUAGGGAAGAACAAGUAUCGUUCGAAUAGGGCGGUACCUUGACGGUACCUAAACAGAAAGCCACGGCUAACUACGUG
Molecule: ribosomal RNA, 499 nt
Filed under: uncultured bacterium
Lineage: Bacteria
Description: partial 16S ribosomal RNA
Rfam family: Bacterial small subunit ribosomal RNA
Source: RNAcentral